CAACUUUCAACAAUGGAUCUCUUGGUUCUGGCAUCGAUGAAGAACGCAGCGAAAUGCGAUAAGUAGUGUGAAUUGCAGAAUUCAGUGAAUCAUCGAAUCUUUGAACGCACAUUGCGCCCCAUGGUAUUCCGUGGGGCAUGCCUGUUCGAGCGUCAUUU
This 158-nucleotide ribosomal RNA is filed under the name Perthomyces podocarpi. RNAcentral describes it as "5.8S ribosomal RNA". It matches the Rfam family "5.8S ribosomal RNA". Rfam says of the family: 5.8S ribosomal RNA (5.8S rRNA) is a component of the large subunit of the eukaryotic ribosome. It is transcribed by RNA polymerase I as part of the 45S precursor that also contains 18S and 28S rRNA. Functionally, it is thought that 5.8S rRNA may be involved in ribosome translocation. The record is from RNAcentral. Lineage: Eukaryota; Fungi; Ascomycota; Dothideomycetes; Pleosporales.